This 459-nucleotide ribosomal RNA is filed under the name Salmonella enterica. RNAcentral's name for it is "bacterial SSU rRNA". It matches the Rfam family "Bacterial small subunit ribosomal RNA", at positions 1 to 456 of the family's 1533-position model. Lineage: Bacteria; Pseudomonadati; Pseudomonadota; Gammaproteobacteria; Enterobacterales; Enterobacteriaceae. The record is from RNAcentral.
AAAUUGAAGAGUUUGAUCAUGGCUCAGAUUGAACGCUGGCGGCAGGCCUAACACAUGCAAGUCGAACGGUAACAGGAAGCAGCUUGCUGUUUUGCUGACGAGUGGCGGACGGGUGAGUAAUGUCUGGGAAACUGCCUGAUGGAGGGGGAUAACUACUGGAAACGGUGGCUAAUACCGCAUAACGUCGCAAGACCAAAGAGGGGGACCUUCGGGCCUCUUGCCAUCAGAUGUGCCCAGAUGGGAUUAGCUUGUUGGUGAGGUAACGGCUCACCAAGGCGACGAUCCCUAGCUGGUCUGAGAGGAUGACCAGCCACACUGGAACUGAGACACGGUCCAGACUCCUACGGGAGGCAGCAGUGGGGAAUAUUGCACAAUGGGCGCAAGCCUGAUGCAGCCAUGCCGCGUGUAUGAAGAAGGCCUUCGGGUUGUAAAGUACUUUCAGCGGGGAGGAAGGUGUUG